AAAUGAAUAAAUGUUAAAAAAAAUUUUUUUUUAAAGUCUCACCAAUCCCUAUAAAUGUAUACAUAUAUGUGUAUUUGAUUGUUUGAACAUAGGGAAAAAAGCACGGAGGGAUGCGUGUGGUCAUUACUAUGAGUCGUCCUGGAGUGGGUGGAGAGGAAGAGUAAAGAGGAUGGAGCCAAAUGAAAAAGUGGGGGGAUAAUAAAACUACAAUUAAAAACCUUCCACUGCCUGUGACAUUUAUGUAUAUAUAUAAAAUAAUGUGUGUAUAAAAGGAAAUUUCAAAAAAUAGACAAUAUAUGAAAAUGGUUUUUUAAUACAUGUAUGUGUAUAAAAUCAUAAUUUUAUUAAAAAGGUGAUAGGAACCUGAUGUCAUUGAACAUACCCAUUCAUACUAAUGUCUCUUCUAUUCCAACCUCUCCAAAACAAGCUGAUUUUGAUGUUUGGCUUUCCACAUAGUGUGACUCCAGGAAGAAAACUCACUGGAAGUGAGGAAGAGAGAAAGCCAACCUAUCAUAUUUUCGUGGAAUCGGGGCCUUAGGAACCCAGUGCUAGCUAUUCCUCUGUUCCCAAACUCACAAACUGCUCAGACAGGGCAUGAGUUUUCUGGGUCAUGUAACAUUUCAGUAACCCUCUGCUGCAAAGCUUGGGACCAGUUAGUUCUGUAAACUUGACGUAUAACUGCACUCAGUUCAUCACCGAGGUCUACUUCACCAAUAUCUGUUCAUAGGUAAGCCCCUGUGAGCAAGGGGCCUAGUAUGAGCAAGGUCAGUGGUGUCUUCCUUUUGCACUGUGCUCAAACUGCCCUCAAUUACUUUUACUCCCCACAAUAGGCCUUGUCGUUUCUGGUCUUCAAGCCCUUGCACAUGCUUUUUCCUUUGGCUAGAAACUUUUCUAGGCUGGAAAAGGUGCCUUUUCAUGUCCCUUUUGCACACUACACUCCCCUCUGUGUGUUUGCCUCCCUCACUAAACUGUAAGUUGCACAAGAGCAGGCAGUGUGUCUGUCUUCACUGUGGAAUCCCCGUGCUCAACCUGGCACAUACUGGUUAAUAAAUUUUAAAAUGUCUUAUGAA
Molecule: long non-coding RNA, 1070 nt
Organism: Leopardus geoffroyi (Geoffroy's cat)
Lineage: Eukaryota; Metazoa; Chordata; Mammalia; Carnivora; Felidae
Exons: 2
Source: RefSeq, a predicted model, not a curated record